CCCCCUGAAUUUAAGCAUAUUAAUGAGGGGAGGAAAAGAAACUAACCAGGAUUUUCUUAGUAGCGGCGAGCGAAAAGAAAAUAGUUCAGCACUAAGUCACUUUGUCUUUAAUGGCAAAUGUGAGAUGUAGUGUAUGGAAUGUUCAACUCUAGUAUGAGAAAUUAGCGAUUUAAGUCCUUCUUAAAUGAGGCCAUUUACCCAAAGAGGGUGCUAGGCCCGUAUAACGUUAAUGAUUACUAGAGAACAAUUCCAAAGAGUCGUGUUGCUUGAUAGUGCAGCACUAAGUGGGUGGUAAACUCCAUCUAAAACUAAAUAUAACCAUGAGACCGAUAGUAAACAAGUACCGUGAGGGAAAGUUGAAAAGAACUCUGAAUAGAGAGUUAAAUAGUACGUGAAACUGCUUAGAGGUUAAACCCGAUAAACCCGAAUAUCCAUUAUGGAAAAUUCAUCAUUAUGAAUUAUGAUAUUUAAUAAAUAUUAUAUUAAUGGGGUGCAUUUUUUCCAUAUAAGGACAUUGUAAUCUAUUAACAUUAAAAUUUAUCAUAAAAUCAUUGGCUUUAAAGUUUAUUCAAAUUAUUAUGCUUGCAUUUUAACACAGAAUAAAUGCUCUUGAUUUGAUAGAUUGUUGAUAGAUUUAUAUUUAUAUAAUGCUUAAAUAUAUUUAUAUAUUUUAUAAUAGCAUAUAAAUCAAUAAUUUUUAUGUUUAUUAUAUGAACUUAUAUGAUUUACAAUGCGAAAGAUUCGGGAUACCUUCGGGACCCGUCUUGAAACACGG
Non-coding RNA from Glossina austeni, 775 nucleotides. The record is from Rfam. NCBI's taxonomy places the organism in Eukaryota, Metazoa, Arthropoda, Insecta, Diptera, Glossinidae.